UUGGGGGAAACUAUGUCAGAGCCCUUCCGGACCUGUCAGUAUUAGCCGCCCACAACUUUUCUGAGUUGGGAACUGAGUGGUUCAGAGAGAGAGAAAAAAAAUGCCCUAGUUUUGUAAUUGGCUCCCAUGGUGCUGCUCAACGGUUAUUAAAAUACGGACACAAAACCUCCCAGAGAAAUCGCUCUGGGCCUCUAUUUAUCAUGUGUGUCCUAAGACAAGCAAAGGCCAUUCCGCGGAGUGUUAGCUACCGGAUGCUUCAAGCUCAGGAGAUUGAACCACCGGCCGGCAUUUUCUGAGGCCAGGAAACUUCCACCAAAAAGGAAGCCCAACAUCAAGAGCUCCCUCGGGGUCCCUGCACAGUGCUCCUGCUGCCUCAGAGCUGAAAGCCACUAUUUCACGGAUUUCUACCUUGUUUAUCGUCUGCUUCACUUCACUGAGCUCUGUCGAGUCUGUGCGAUCAAUAAAACUCCUUGCAAGACGUUUUCUGAAAUGGAAUGAGUAGAAUUCGAUCCUGUACAUGGAGAACUGGAGAAAUCUGCUUGGAGGGGGCUUCUGCAGAGGUUGCUGGGUUGUGUCCCGCCUCCUGGAGCGAAGCAACCACACUGUAAUCAUUAGUGUCUAUUAAAUGUGCUAAG
Long non-coding RNA from Myodes glareolus (Bank vole), 635 nucleotides. RefSeq lists it as uncharacterized. NCBI's taxonomy places the organism in Eukaryota, Metazoa, Chordata, Mammalia, Rodentia, Cricetidae. The record is from RefSeq and is a predicted model, not a curated record.